Haliotis rubra (blacklip abalone) is the source of this 1125-nucleotide long non-coding RNA. RefSeq lists it as uncharacterized. The record is from RefSeq and is a predicted model, not a curated record. The transcript is spliced from 2 exons. Lineage: Eukaryota; Metazoa; Mollusca; Gastropoda; Lepetellida; Haliotidae.
UUCAGCGAUCGACGCGGGAUCGGCUGGUGGUGGCACGGUAUCUGCCACAGGUGUGGUCGUCGUUGUCGCUGCAACGCUUUGGCUCCUCUGAUAUGAUCCAAGCAUAAAAUGAGUCCUUUAGGCUCGUUAAGGUACCACGACAACUCCCGCGGUUGUACAAAUCAAUAAUGAACAAUGUAAUGUGUGUUCGCCUUGUAGAUUGCAAUUGAAGCUUUAUGUGUAUUUAACGUCAUUCCUCAUAAGGGACCGUUCAUAAUUUAUGGGGAAAUGAUUUUAUGGAGAAGCAUUUACAAUGUGGAUGACCCCCUAAAAAUUUAUGUACAAAUUAAUGCCCCCCUCCUGCCCAUAACUUCUAAGCAUAAAUUUAAACGUAUUUUAUGUACAAAAUUGCUGACCCCCCGCUAGUACGUGUGCAUAAAAUUGCUGACCUUCCUAGAUCCCCAGAACAAAAUGGGUGACCACCCUUAAAAUCAUCCUCAGACCCCUAACCAUAAAUUAUGAACGGUCCCUAAUGCCAUAUGUGUAUGAUAAAUAUUGCAUUUAUUGCCUAUUGCUUGAAGUUCCGAUAGACUAUUACACGUCGCUCGAAGCAUUAGUUUAUUACUUUAGGUUCGACUCCCUCCUCAUGUUUCAAAGUCACAUGACGAGUUUCCUUGUGAAAUAAAUGAUACAUUGUAUAUACUGUACUAUGUAAGGCCCUUCGCUUUUUAGAUAUUGAAUGUUAUUUUUCGUGUAACCUAUUUUUAUCAUAUAUUUGUGCUUCUAAACCAUUGCCAACUUUUGUAUGUAGGAGAAGAUUAUGUCUACCAUUGUCUACGUUUUUAUAAUGCAGCCUUAUGAUAUUAUAAUACAAGUUAUGGUUUCAAUUAGGUAAGCACAGUGCAUGACACAACGGCGGCAAGUAUUUCAACAUGACUAACAUUUAAUUCAUUAAUCUUUACAAUACGUUUACAGUUGAUCUUUGUUUUAUAUUUUGAAUAUACACUUUAAUUAAGAAAAACAAACUUCAUUCGUGUCCAUGAUUGAACAAGUAUUUAGACUAUGUAUUCGAACGCACACUUAAUGCCACCUUUCGAUGUUUAAAAUAUAUCUUACAAUGUUGAUCAAUAAAAUUUGCAUGAAAAA